GACGAACGCUGGCGGCGUGCUUAACACAUGCAAGUCGAACGGAAAGGCCCUGCUUUUGUGGGGUGCUCGAGUGGCGAACGGGUGAGUAACACGUGAGUAACCUGCCCUUGACUUUGGGAUAACUUCAGGAAACUGGGGCUAAUACCGGAUAGGAGCUCCUGCUGCAUGGUGGGGGUUGGAAAGUUUCGGCGGUUGGGGAUGGACUCGCGGCUUAUCAGCUUGUUGGUGGGGUAGUGGCUUACCAAGGCUUUGACGGGUAGCCGGCCUGAGAGGGUGACCGGCCACAUUGGGACUGAGAUACGGCCCAGACUCCUACGGGAGGCAGCAGUGGGGAAUAUUGCACAAUGGGCGGAAGCCUGAUGCAGCAACGCCGCGUGCGGGAUGACGGCCUUCGGGCUGUAAACCGCCUUCGCCUGUGACGAAGCGUGAGUGACGGUAAUGGGUAAAGAAGCACCGGCUAACUACGUG
This 468-nucleotide ribosomal RNA is filed under the name uncultured bacterium. RNAcentral describes it as "partial 16S ribosomal RNA". It matches the Rfam family "Bacterial small subunit ribosomal RNA", at positions 28 to 507 of the family's 1533-position model. The record is from RNAcentral.